Molecule: ribosomal RNA, 513 nt
Filed under: uncultured Bacteroides sp.
Lineage: Bacteria; Pseudomonadati; Bacteroidota; Bacteroidia; Bacteroidales; Bacteroidaceae
Description: bacterial SSU rRNA
Rfam family: Bacterial small subunit ribosomal RNA
Source: RNAcentral
GAUCCUGGCUCAGGAUGAACGCUAGCGGCAGGCUUAAUACAUGCAAGUCGAACGGGAUUCGGGGUAGCAAUACUUUGAUGAGAGUGGCGCACGGGUGCGUAACGCGUAUGCAACCUACCUUUAACAGGGGAAUAGCCCCGAGAAAUCGGGAUUAAUACUCCGUAACAUUGCGGUGUGGCAUCACACUGCAAUUAAAGAUUUAUCGGUUAAAGAUGGGCAUGCGUGACAUUAGCUAGUUGGUGAGGUAACGGCUCACCAAGGCAACGAUGUCUAGGGGUCCUGAGAGGGUUAUCCCCCACACUGGUACUGAGACACGGACCAGACUCCUACGGGAGGCAGCAGUAAGGAAUAUUGGUCAAUGGGCGCAAGCCUGAACCAGCCAUGCCGCGUGCAGGAAGACGGCCCUAUGGGUUGUAAACUGCUUUUAUCAGGGAAUAAACCCCCGCUCGUGAGCGGGGCUGAAGGUACCUGAAGAAUAAGCAUCGGCUAACUCCGUGCCAGCAGCCGCGGUAA